AGUGAACGCUGGCGGUAGGCCUAACACACGCAAGUCGAACGGCAGCACAGGAGAGCUUGCUCUCUGGGUGGCGAGUGGCGGACGGGUGAGGAAUACAUCGGAAUCUACUCUGUCGUGGGGGAUAACGUAGGGAAACUUACGCUAAUACCGCAUACGACCUACGGGUGAAAGCAGGGGACCUUCGGGCCUUGCGCGAUUGAAUGAGCCGAUGUCGGAUUAGCUAGUUGGCGGGGUAAAGGCCCACCAAGGCGACGAUCCGUAGCUGGUCUGAGAGGAUGAUCAGCCCGACUGGAAAUGAGACACGGUCCAGACUCCUACGGGAGGCAGCAGUGGGGAAUAUUGGACAAUGGGCGCAAGCCUGAUCCAGCCAUACCGCGUGGGUGAAGAAGGCCUUCGGGUUGUAAAGCCCUUUUGUUGGGAAAGAAAUCCAGCUGGCUAAUACCCGGUUGGGAUGACGGUACCCAAAGAAUAAGCACCGGCUAACUUCGUGCCAGCCGCCGCCGUAA
Molecule: ribosomal RNA, 506 nt
Filed under: uncultured bacterium
Lineage: Bacteria
Description: partial 16S ribosomal RNA
Rfam family: Bacterial small subunit ribosomal RNA
Source: RNAcentral